CCUACGGGCGGCUGCAGGGAAUAUUGCACAAUGGGCGCAAGCCUGAUGCAGCCAUGCCGCGUGUGUGAAGAAGGCCUUCGGGUUGUAAAGCACUUUCAGCGGGGAGGAAGGCGGUGAGGUUAAUAACCUCAUCGAUUGACGUUACCCGCAGAAGAAGCACCGGCUAACUCCGUGCCAGCAGCCGCGGUAAUACGGAGGGUGCAAGCGUUAAUCGGAAUUACUGGGCGUAAAGCGCACGCAGGCGGUCUGUCAAGUCGGAUGUGAAAUCCCCGGGCUCAACCUGGGAACUGCAUUCGAAACUGGCAGGCUAGAGUCUUGUAGAGGGGGGUAGAAUUCCAGGUGUAGCGGUGAAAUGCGUAGAGAUCUGGAGGAAUACCGGUGGCGAAGGCGGCCCCCUGGACAAAGACUGACGCUCAGGUGCGAAAGCGUGGGGAGCAAACAGGAUUAGAUACCCUAGUAGUC
Molecule: ribosomal RNA, 462 nt
Filed under: uncultured Klebsiella sp.
Lineage: Bacteria; Pseudomonadati; Pseudomonadota; Gammaproteobacteria; Enterobacterales; Enterobacteriaceae
Description: bacterial SSU rRNA
Rfam family: Bacterial small subunit ribosomal RNA
Source: RNAcentral